Molecule: ribosomal RNA, 253 nt
Filed under: uncultured bacterium
Lineage: Bacteria
Description: partial 16S ribosomal RNA
Rfam family: Bacterial small subunit ribosomal RNA
Source: RNAcentral
UACGUAGGGUGCGAGCGUUGUCCGGAAUUAUUGGGCGUAAAGGGCUCGUAGGCGGUUUGUCACGUCAGGAGUGAAAACUCGGGGCUCAACCCCGAGCCUGCUUCUGAUACGGGCAGACUAGAGGUAUGCAGGGGAGAACGGAAUUCCUGGUGUAGCGGUGAAAUGCGCAGAUAUCAGGAGGAACACCAAUGGCGAAGGCAGCUCGCUGGGACGUGACUGACGCUGAGACGCGAAAGCGUGGGGAGCAAACAGG